Molecule: unclassified non-coding RNA, 290 nt
Filed under: Hevea brasiliensis (rubber tree)
Lineage: Eukaryota; Viridiplantae; Streptophyta; Magnoliopsida; Malpighiales; Euphorbiaceae
Source: RNAcentral
GGGCCAUCUACAUAGCCUUCAACAAGGAGGGUAUGGAAGGGAGUGCCUUCGGGUCCCUCUCGAUACAUAACACGGUAGUCUUCAGUAUCUUGUUUUACUUUCCAAACAGGAUGAGCUGCUUCAGAAGAUUUUGCCUUCUCAUUAUCAGCUACAGAUGCACUCCUUAACAUGCUCAGGAAGUUUGCCACUUCCUUGGUUCUUCGCUCUACCAGGUUGUCACUACAUUCUUGAAGAUCACAUUCUGACGAGCGUAGCAUUUGAUUCUUGACAAGGUUCUUAAGUAAGUCAUC